This 244-nucleotide transfer-messenger RNA is filed under the name Paenibacillus agri. It matches the Rfam family "transfer-messenger RNA", at positions 122 to 374 of the family's 374-position model. Rfam says of the family: Bacterial tmRNA, also known as 10Sa RNA or SsrA, is named for its dual tRNA and mRNA-like properties. Its role is to liberate the mRNA from a stalled ribosome. Lineage: Bacteria; Bacillati; Bacillota; Bacilli; Caryophanales; Paenibacillaceae. The record is from Rfam by way of RNAcentral.
AGCUUAAUAACCUGUGUGCGUGCUUCUACCCUGCAUCGCCCAUGUGACAGGGAUAGGGGCUAACAAGUAGUGGGAUACGCCGCUUGGUCUCCGCCUGGGGUCAACGGAAGAAGAUAAUCAGGCUGACCCAACGUAUAGCCGGUUACGGGGCGAUACUCGGGUGACAUCAAAACUGUGACUACACUCGUAGAAACUUAUGUGCCGUUAUCUUCGGACAGGGGUUCGACUCCCCUCGGCUCCAUAU